This 466-nucleotide ribosomal RNA is filed under the name Vreelandella stevensii. RNAcentral describes it as "partial 16S ribosomal RNA". It matches the Rfam family "Bacterial small subunit ribosomal RNA", at positions 338 to 795 of the family's 1533-position model. Lineage: Bacteria; Pseudomonadati; Pseudomonadota; Gammaproteobacteria; Oceanospirillales; Halomonadaceae. The record is from RNAcentral.
CCUACGGGUGGCUGCAGUGGGGAAUAUUGGACAAUGGGCGAAAGCCUGAUCCAGCCAUGCCGCGUGUGUGAAGAAGGCCUUCGGGUUGUAAAGCACUUUCAGUGGGGAAGAAAGCCUUGGGGCUAAUACCCUCGAGGAAGGACAUCACCCACAGAAGAAGCACCGGCUAACUCCGUGCCAGCAGCCGCGGUAAUACGGAGGGUGCGAGCGUUAAUCGGAAUGUACUGGGCGUAAAGCGCGCGUAGGCGGUCUGAUAAGCCGGUUGUGAAAGCCCCGGGCUCAACCUGGGAACGGCAUCCGGAACGGUCAGGCUAGAGUGCAGGAGAGGAAGGUAGAAUUCCCGGUGUAGCGGUGAAAUGCGUAGAGAUCGGGAGGAAUACCAGUGGCGAAGGCGGCCUUCGGGACUGACACUGACGCUGAGGUGCGAAAGCGUGGGUAGCAAACAGGAUUAGAUACCCGAGUAGUC